AAAGAUGAAGCCGUACGGCACUCUGUGCUGUAUAGAAUGGAAUUCUAAAUUAAUUAAGGUGGUCAUGCACCUUAAUUAAUUGGAUCCAUGAUAGCUAUUGAUCUAUAUACAUAUAGAAAUCAAUCUCUCUCCGAUCUCUCUUCUGCGCACGUGUUUCUUUCCGAUCAACUUCUCUAUUCUUCAUCGACUGAAAGAUCAUGAAGUGAUUGCUAGCACCGUCCAGAUGGUCCGUGACUCAUCCGGUUCGUGAGACGAAGAUCGAUCGGGUAUGCGCCGAUUCCGUGUGGAUACGCGUAGAGGCCGGGCAUGUGCGCGGCUAAUAAGAAUCUCUGUUCGUCAUAUUCAAUUUCAACCGUACAGUAGAUCAAGAGACCUUAACUGGUCCACGGUAAGAUUUCUAAACAUAAAGAGUUUUUGUUUAGAUUAAUUUUUUGCAUAGUAACAUGAGAAUGAUCCGCCGGCAACGGUUUGAUUUACUGGUUUUCGGUUUUCAUAUGUGAUAUGUAUUUAGCUUCCGAAAAAUUUUAAAAGUGCAAAAUUAUUUUCCGCUGCGUUUUUCUGAUGUGCCGGUUAUUUUCUAACAGAUUUUACUCAAACCUGAAUUUCAAAUGGGACGGAUUUACAGAACGAACCAAAUACAAAAUUAAAUCAGUAUAAAAACUUGUUCUUUAGAAAUUUACAAUAUGAUUUUUUUUAUAUUUAUUUUAAUCAUGAAUAUAUAUUAACGAUCUAAUAUAAUAUUUUACUAUAUAAAAGUUGGGUUCCAUUUUUCAAUUUUGGAGAUAGAUUUUGAUUUUUUUUAAUUUAGAUUCGGUUUCAAAUUUUCCAAAAAAACAUGUUGACAUGGCUAGCUGAUUCUCUACGUCAAAUGGGCUUUAAUAGAAGAGCAAAGUGUUACAUUUUGCAAUUGAAUAGUAGAUUAGGUUAAAUUAAUUACGAAAUCUCCCUUAUGCUUUACCUACUGUCUCAAUUAACACUUCACAUAAUUUUUGUUUUAAUUUGACCUCAUACAAUACCACUAGGUUAAAUUAAUAGUUCUAAAAAUUUUUAACGAUCAACGAGAUCGGGUAUAAUUCUUCAUUAAAAUGAGUUGGCAAAUAGUUAUUAUUAUAGAGAGCCACAUUAGUAAUAAGAAAAUCUUUUAUGUAAGUUGUAAUUUGGAUAGUUGUUCGAUUUUAUAUUAAUGUGAUGUAUCAAAUUAUUUUGUUGUACGAUCUAUUUUAGAUUGUAAUUCUACAACUUUUAUAAUCCAAAAGCCAUAUAUUCGCUACAAGUCUGAUAACUUUUUCUUUAGACAAUGCUCGGAUAAAUGAUUGUAGAGAUUAUAAUUUCUUUUGAUUGUAAACUCAGGAUUUCUCAUAAUAGAAUAAUGCAAGAAUAAGAAUCUAUAGAGUUUUCCGAAAUUAUGGAUCAUUUUGAAACGACAACCCGAUAUUUUAAAAUUUAAUAUUUUUACAGAUAUAAAUUUGUUCAAGUCAAUAAUUAGUUUUCAAGUUAAAAUAUUAUUGACAGACUGACAUCAAAUAAAUUGAAAGCUUGAAAAAUAAAUUUAUAAUUUUGAAAAAUUAGAUAGACACUUUAAAAUAAUUCAUUGCUGUAGUAAUGUAUGUACGUUUUUACCGUAACAGAAGGCAACUUUGCUAGCACGCAAAAGCUACAAACACAAUUGCAGCGAAUCCGCUGUCAAUAGCUUUCGACAGCGACACGUCCAUCGGGCUUCUCCGCUGCCGGCGCGGGGGCCCCAUCAGUCGCGCUCCCCACUCACAAUGCCACGUGGCGGCGGCACGGGAACAUCGCACCACACUCCACGACAGACGUGGAAGGGAUACGGUACACCACGAAAAGUGUUACGCGGGUCUGGUCCAAUGAACCGGACCGGCAAAACAGUUAUAGCAACUGUAGUAGAUGGGUCCGUUUCGAACCGGUCCGGUUCACGAGUCACGUGGUAAACAAGGUCCAAUCAAUAAUGUGCCCGCUAAUGGCCCCCAAGCGUCUCAGCGUCUGUAAGAGGACCGGAUCAAAAUUCAAUGCUUUCGCAGCGAGCACAACCCCACGAUCGCCAUUAAUGGAGCUCACAAUCCCCACGCCGAUACACCCACGAGCUCCCGCGGAUACGAAGCAUCAUAACACCAUUAAUUCCCCUACCACACUCCAUGAUCCAUAGUCUCAUUAAUUUCAAUCAAACAUACAUACCGGUUGUUGUCGGCGCGGGAGGAUAUAUAUAUAUAUAUAUAUAUAUAUAUGAUGAUGAUGAUGAUGAUGCUCCAUCGCCAGCUCUCGGCGCCGCACCCGAUGACGCUCGCGGGCGCGCGGGGCCGCUGCGAGCUCAACGACGAGCUCCGCGUCAAGGCGACCGAGCUCGAGAGGCGGUUCGCCGAUUACAAGCUCCGGAUCGGAGCCGAUGGGACCGGGCCAGCGCCGCGGAGGGGCGAGAUCAGAGGAGGCACGUGCGCCGAUGCUGAUGGCACGUGCGGUGGGGAGGAGAGGAGGAGGAGGAGGAGGAGGAGGAGGAGAGGGGAGCUCUACGGAGCGUACAUGGAGAGGAGGGACGCGAGGUUGCGGGAAGGGUGGAGGACGAGAAUGGAGGAGAAGGAGGCGCAGAUGAAGGCAAUGUGGGAGAGCUUGGAGCGGAGCAGGGCGGAGAUGGCGGCGCGGUUCGGACGAUCCAGGAGCCAUAACGUCGAAAAGGUAACACACUGUUUUUUUCCUUUUUCUUCUGUUAAAACUGAUAGGUUUGAUGAUUGUUUCUAUCUUCCAUUAAGAUGAUUGUUUGUGUCUCAGAGACCUAGUUUGGUAAUGUCCUAGUUAAUACACGCCUCUCUGGUAACGAUUGUAAGCACAAUUUUAAAGCAUCAUAGAAAAAAAAAAAUGAUUAUACGCGAUUUUAGAUUUUUGAGUUUUUAUAAUAUAAAAAUAAUGCUUUUAGAUUUUUAAAUCUUUUAUAAUAUAAAAAUAGUACUUUUUGCUACCAUAUAAUUAAACUAUUCCUGCCUGCACUCUAAGACUUCAAUAUAAGAGUUAUUUUGAUUAAAAUAUAUGAAAGUUAUUUGAGCUAUGACAUAUUUUAAUAUGACUAUCUAAUCUUUAAAAAUUUUAAUUUAUUUAAUUUGAAUUAUUUUAUAACUCUUCGGCUUCUGAAUUUGGAUACAUCGUUCAUAUAAUUAUGUUCUUAUUAAAACAUGCAGCACAUCCACAUUUUAUAUAUAAUCGAACAAUGACUGUAUAUUGCUCGAAUUAAAUAAAUUAAAAAAAAUUAAUACUAAAACAAAAUUCUUUUUAAGUUGUACAGCUGAAUAGAUCAAAAUGGAUUAUACUUUGGGUAAUUAAGUUUUCUAUUUUUUUUCUCUUUUUGAAUGUAAGACACAAGGUGAUAUCUUCCAUAAUUUACUUAAUGAGAUAAAAAUGAUACACAAUUUUUAAUUUUAAGUGGUAUCUCAGUAUCCGAUUUGAUGCAAGCAUACUAAGAAAUUCAGCAGUCUAGUGAAACUAGUCUAACAUAAACAAUAAAAUGAAAAAAUGAAAAAAAAAAGCACAAACUAAUAUUACUUAAAUAAAAGAUGCCCAAUUUGCAUAAUAAAUCUACUAAUUUUGUGAUUUUGCAAAAAUUGGUCACUAUGUUGGGUUUUACAUAUUCGAGUCGGAUUUUCAACAAACUAAUCAAAAUAUCUUUAUUUCUCUCUCUCUCUCUCUCUCUCUCUCUCUCUCUCUCUCUCUCUCUCUCUUCUUCGUUCUUUUUUUUUUUUCUCUUUGACCAUCAUCGUCUCCUCCACCGCCUCUGCCGUCCUCGAUGACGGAAACAAUGACGGCGCCACCUCCUCUUCCUCUAUCUCCUCCUCCGCUGGUCCCGGCGGCUCUCGGCGACGGUAACGAGGGUGACGCUGCCUCCUCUUCCUCUGCCUCUGCCUCUGCUUCUGCUUCCUUCGGCGUCGGAGAAGGAAAAGGAGAAGCCGAAGCAGGCCAGAGUAAGAGCGGAGCUGACGGAGACGAUGAGAUUAUUGCCCAGGAAGUGCUCACCGUCUAUGAGGGUGAGAAAAAAAGACGCGCCCAUCUCUAAAAAGUCAACGAAGGUGCAGUGAGUGGAAAAAAAACAAGAAUAAAAAGUUAAAAAAAAAGAAAGAAGUUUUUUUCUCUUUGAAAUACCAUUAUAUAUCGUUGCUGCUACCGAAAAGACUAAGAAUCAGAAAAAAAAAAAAAAAAAGUAAGAAAAAGAUAAAGGUUGGACUAUUAAAAUAAAAUUGCAAUGUUUUGCAAAAAAAUUAUACUAUUUAAUAUGAACGCUGCAUUCUUUGAAAUACAAGUUAUACUCUUUGAAAUAAAAAUUGCACUAUUUCGAUAAAAAUUGCACUGUUUUAGAGAAAAUGACACUCUACCUUCCAUGGCGACCAUCCUCACCAACGCAAUCCUCUUGACCCCACGUGCGGUAUUAGAGCGCCAAAAUACGGAAACGGCCUACCUCUCCAGCGCGAGGCUCGCGCUAUUCCCAUGUGGCGAUAAAGCAGAGGGGGUCGGAGAAGUCAAACGCCUAGUCGGCACCGUAGCCAGCCACCUUGACUCCCUUAGUAUGGCAGCGGAAACGGUGGAGGCAGCAGAGAUGAUGCGUUGGCGGCGAUGACGGAGGAGGAGCCCAUGUAGAGCGAGAGUGCUGCGAGGCGGAGGCGGCGGCGGCGGCGGCGGCGGCGGCGACGGCAGUGGAGCAGGAGACGUGAUUGAUAGAGACGAGCAGGGUGGAGGGGGAGAAAGGAGGGGUAGGAGCGGGUCAAGGGAAGAGGACUCAGAUUUGGGCACCUUGUGGGCAUACUUGAUGAUCUUGUUGAACAUGGUGCCGGCUCUGGUGUCGGUGGCGGCGGCGGUGGUGGUGGCGCCACCGUGUGGGAGUAGAGAAAGCCUCACGUGCGGGGAGUAGGUUGUCUCCUUAGUUAGUUAAUUCGCGAUUAAAACGCGAAUGAUACGCGAAUUUUAAAAAUUACGUAUUAAACGGUCGGUUCUGUAUUUUUCCGAAAAGUUCGAAAAAAAACGCGAUUUCUUCCUAAAAAAAACUUGUUCGCGAAUUAUUCGUGAUUCGCGAAUGAUUCGACCAAAAAAACGGUGCUCUCGAUCACGGAUUCGCGGCCGAGGGUCGUGUCGUCGCCGUGCUCGUGGUUGCCGCCGCGCUCGUCGUCGCUGAUUCGCGGCCGAGGGUCGCGUCGUCGUCGCUCUCGUUGCCGAACUCGUCCGAGUUGUCCUCCUCCUCCUCCGCCGCCCUGGCCGGCACCGGGAGCAAGAGCCGCGGCGGCGGCAGAUGCCCUCUCGCGCCGUCCGCGGAAAAAUGUGGAAGAGAAACAGUAAAAAAAAUCGGGGCUUUUGAGUAGACUUUUGUGCGCGGUCCACGACCACGUCGUGGACCGCAUGAGAGGGAGGUCCACCGUGGACCUCCCUCUCAUUAAUCAUUAUAUAUAUACUUACUAUAUAAAUAUAUAUAUAUAUAUAUAUAAUAUAUAUAUUAAAUAUAUAUAGAGCCGUCUGGGGUGCUUUCGUAAGCACGGAGCGCUCCGUGCUUCCACUUUGUUUCGAUGUUGGACUUUCAAUCGACGAUCGGCUCCGUUAGACUUGAUCUAGAGUAUUUGAAGUAUCUAGAAAAUAAAUUUUGCGAUUUUUCGAUAUCAUUUGCCUAGUGAUCGAAGUGGCUAAAAUCAACGGCUGAAAUAAAAAUCUCACAAAAUAUGAUGAUAUGACAUUAAAAUUUUAGAUUGAAGUUAUUGAUCUUGUUUAUAUGGUAUAAAGAAUUUUCUAUCAAAAUUUCACGUGAUUUGGAUAUUUCUACACCGUUAAACUUGCAACCGGCUCACCACGGCCGUUAAAAUUAUUGAUUUUGAGCCCUUCGAUCACUAGGCAAAUGAUAUCGAAAAUAUCGCAAAUUUAAUUUCUUGGUACUUUAAAUACUCUAGAUCAACUCUAACGGAGCCGAUCGUCGAUUCGAAAGUCCGAACAUCGAAAACAAAGUGGAAGCACGGACCGCUCCGUGCUUCCGAAAGCACCCCAGCCCACCUUAUUAUAUUAUAUAUAUAUAUAUAUAUAUAUAUAUAUAUAUAAUAUAUUAAUAUAUAUAUAUAAUAUAUACUAUUAUUAUAACUAUAGAUUUUAUUUAUAAAUAUAUAUUCAUUUAUUUAUUAUAUAUAAUUUUGUAUUUAUAAAUUUAUAAAUAUUUAUUAAUAUUUCUAAAUACAUAACUCUUAUGUAUUAUUAAUAUAUAUUUAUUAUAAUUAUGAAUAUAUUUAAUUUAUAUAAAAAAGCAUAAAAAUAAUAUAUAUAGUAUAUUAAUUAUUAUAUAUUUAUUAUAUAGCCGAAUUUUUUAUUCUGAAUUUUUAAUUGAUAAACAUAUAAUAUCCUUAUAAAUUACGUAUCCGAAUAAUUACCAAAUCCGUUUUUUAACUGUAUUUUUCAACGAAUUUAAAAGUUAAAAGAUGAAUUUUAUCCAAAUUAUACCCAUACCGAAUUUUUGCCGAAUCCGAAUUAACUAACUAUGGUUGUCUCUAAGUUUUGAUGCUCCGAUGCGGCGGGCAGAGUGGAGAGGUUUGCGUUGGUGAGAAUGGUCACCAUGAAAGGUAGAGUGCAAUUUUCUCUAAAACAGUAUAAUUUUUAUCGAAAGAAUACAACUUUUGUUUCAAAGAGUAUAAUUUUCAUCUUAAAGAGUGCAACGUUCAUCUUAAACUGUUACGCCCCAGAUUACCACAUUUUUCCGGGCACGCUAACAGACCAGCCGUAUACAAAGAAAUUUUUCUUGUAUACGAAGCGAUAGUUGCACCUGUAAUCACAAUAAAACUACGACAAGUAAUAUAGAGCUGCUAAACUGAAAAAGAUAUAUAUAAAAAAAAACCUCAAGGGGUUCCAGUACAUGCAAAAUGUCUACAACACAACUCGCUCCAGCAAGCACCCCGACAACAUCACAAUAUGUACAAAAAAAGCCCAAAACUACCUUUGGAAGGUAUUCCUCUAACACUGCAACAAGGCUGGAAGGGAUCUCGCUCGCGACUCCCUUUCCACGGUCAGAAUCAACGACAGCAACAACCGCGGACGAAGGCUCUGCAAAAGGUGUCAACAACUCGGUGUGAGAACUACUACAAAAUAGAGUAGUCUUCAGUGGGUAUCGUCACCGACCUCAACGGCUCAGCCACUAAGUCUACAGAAAUAUGAGCAAAGGAUAGUAAGGAAAGCUGAAAAAACUCUACAGCUACAUAUCUCCAUACUAACGCUAACCAACAUAGGCUAUCUGUAGAUAUGAAAGAUGCCUCACUCUGACCCAAUCUCACUGGGGACUGCAAUAUGCCCAUCCCGCCUGUCAAAACGACCACGUACACCACUCCAAAAGUAGCUGGUGGAGAAAACUCUCUGGGGAUUGCGAUACGCCCAUCCCGCAUGUCUAGGCUACACCGUACACCACCUCGAGAGUAGCCGGUGGAGAAAUCUCUUUAAGUAUAAAGGUCCGACAGGACUGCUGCGACUCAACACAAAACACAACAUCACUAAGGGUAGAGAAAGACGUCACUAACUACUACUGACCCAACCUCGCACGGGCUACCCAAACGAACCCACCCUACCUGUAUCCAGCUCAAGAACCGUCCAAACAGAAACUGCGAUCUCAUCGCACUGAAACCUCAUUCCGGAAUGGCAUUCGUGGACGCGACCCAACCGAGUUUACAAGUAUCUCUGCAAAGUUCAUUCAGGCUCUCACAGGCUGUAAUCACUAUAGAAGGGGUCAAACUACUCAAGUCCCCAACUCACGUGCCCCUGACACAAUCUGAUGCAAAAAUGCAGCAGUCUGGGUCCACCGUCAAUCCCGAUGGCACCCGUCGGUCCGACACCGUCUAACUCUACUGUAACAACACACUCGGCUCCUCAGCGCGAGCGUAAAAUCAACCUACACUUGUCUAAGUAUCUACCUUGCACUAACAGCGGUGAUACAGAAAUCUGGGUCACUGUCAACCCCGACGGCAUCCGACAGUACGAAACAGUCUACACAUUACUGUAAAACAAUCUUGGCAUCCUAACACGAGUGUAAACUCACUCUACACUAAUCUGGGUAUCCCCCGCGCACAAACAACGGUGAUACAAAUUAAUAUCAGCUCUUAUAGCUAAAUCUGGUAAUUUUAGAAAAUGACAGUGUAGAAUCUAAUAUGUUUUCUCCUAAGUCAAUUCCAAGUCUAACAUGAAUAUAAUACUAGCUUAACUCCAAAUUCAGGUUUUAUAGCCUAAUCUACAAUUUCCAUGAAUUCGAGUACUAGCACAAUAAACCGUAACCAAUAAAUACAUAUUGAUGGUGAUAGGACUUAGAUGGAAAUCCGGCGAUUUUUGUAAGCUUCAACCUACCUCGAAAAGCUCGUCCAACAACGACGAGAAGUCGAAAGAAGGGAAAACAUAUGCUCGCCCGGUCUCGGCACAACUGCGACGGCCACGCGCUCGAACGGCCCCCCGGAUCGAGUCGACAACCUCUCGGAGCUCAAGCCGUAGCCUUCACCAAGCACACAAUUAAACUAGAGAGAGAGAGGGAAAACCACGCGCUCGCUCGGCCUCCCAACAAUGCGUCGACAACCUCUCGAGCUCGAGCCGCGACCUCUACAACGUACGAGUCCACCGGCUAGAGAAAGAGAGGGAAAUAAGAAGAAUAACCGGCUCAUACUCUCUCUCUGUGAAUAAAUAGGUUGGGAGUAACAUUGGGUUGAUCGACACAUCAAAUGACCAAAAGGCCCCUCACAAACUCAAAAAUUCAGCUGGAAUAUCGAUAUCCAACUUGGUUACCGGUACUCGGCCUCUCAACCCGCAAGCUCGCACACACGGUACUGGUACUCGCCCGAUGCAGUACCGGUAGCCGAGCUCGAUGCCGGUACUCAACAGGUCAGUACUGAUACUCAACAGGUCAGUACCGAUACUCAACAGGUCAAUACCGGUACUCAGCAUCAAAUUGGCGCAACUCGAGAGCAUCAGUUCUGGAAUUCCACUUGGGUACCGGUACUCCUCUCCCUUGUACUGGUACUCAACACUGAAAUCUUUCACUUUACAGAUUUUAAUGUCAAAACUCUGCUCUAGCAUCGCACUGAGUCCGUUUUGUGUCCAGUUUGCCCAAAACUACUCCGACUUGUCUCGACAUUCUUCAGAUGUGUCGACAAGUCUCAAAUGCUGAAACACACGGCUGCAGAACACUAAGGACACUACAUAAACAGUGCAUGUAUCUUAUAAAAUAGUGCAAUUUUAUUUUAACAGUGCAAUAUUUAUCUUUUUCUUCAGCUUUUUCUAAUUCUUAAAUUUUUCGUUAGCAGCAACAAUAAAUAAUAAUUUUUCAAAGAGAAAUUUAUUUUUUAUUUUUUAUUUUUAUUUUUUUGUUUUUUUUUUCUCCUCUCUGCAUCUUUGCUUGCUUCUAGGAGAUGAACACGUCUUUUUUCCUCAUCCUCACGGGCGGCGAGCACCUCCUCGGCAACGACCUCAUUGCCUCUGUACCCUCUACUGUCACCCGGGCCCGUCCGAGUUCUCCUUCUCCUUGUCCGGUGCUGGCGGAAGUGGAGGCGAAGGUGGAGACGAAGGAAGAGGAGGUGGCGUCGCCCUUGUUACCGUCGAUAAGGGCCGCCGGCGUCGGUGGAGGAGAUGGAGGAGAAAAAGGAGGUGACGCCGCCCUCGUUACCGUCGCUGAGAGUCACGGAUGCGGUGGAGCAGGCGAUGAGGGUUGGAGAGGAAAAAAAAGGGUAAACUUUAGAUACCACCCCUGUAGUUUCGUACUUUCUCACUUUAGUACCUUGUGGUUUAAAGUGUAUCAAGUUAGUGUCCAUUUUUUUUAUUUUUAUUUUUUCGUUAGUUUUUCCAUUAAUAUUUCGUUAAAUUAUAUGCCAAAAACUUUAGAUACCCCACCUAGGUUUAUCGAAUAUUCACUUUAGUACCCUUUAGUUUUAACUUUGUUAUUGAUUUAACGAAAAAAUUAGUGGAAUCGAUAAUAAAAAGAUAAAAAUGAAAACACAUGACAUUAAAUUGAUACACUUUAAAUCAUAGGGUACUAAAGUGAGAAAGUGUGAAACCGUAUGGGUGGUAUUUGAAGUUUUUUUUAAAAAAAUAAAAGAAAAAAAGGAGAGAGAACAGAAUAAGAGUAUUUUUGUUAGUUUAUUGAAAAUCCAACCCAAAUUUGCAGAAUUCUGAAUAUUGACCUACUUUUGUAAAAUUGCAAAACUAAUAGAUUUUUUAUGCAAAUUGGCUAUAAAAGAUAAAACAAGAAAAAAGAAAAAGGUUUAUAAAGAGAACUGAUUGUAGAAGUAAAGUACACACCGCCGCCUACUAAGAAAAAAAGAGAACAGUAAAACAAUUUCUCCUCCACUUUCAGAGUUAUCAAUAAAUAUCGUACAUUUUUUCCUAAUUUUUUAAACGACUCAAGAUGUUUUUCCCUAAUAGUUGAUAACUGAAAGAAGAAAAAAUUUUAAAUACCACUUCGGUCGUCUUAUACUUUCUCACUUUAAUAUUUUAUAGUUUAAAGUAUAUCACUUUCGUAUCAUGUGAUUUUAUUUUUUUUCUUUUUAUUAUUCUCUUCACUAAUUUUUUUUGUUAAAUCGGUGAAAAAGUUAAAAAUAAUAGGUACUAAAGUGAAUAUUCGAUAAACUGUAGGUGAGAUAUUUGAAAUUUUUUGUAUAUGAUUUAACGAAAAGUUAAUGAAGUACCGACGAAAAAAAAAUAAACUACAAAAUACUAAAUUGAUACAUUUUAAAUCACAGAAUAAUAAAAUAAAAAAGUGCGAAACUAAAAAAGUGGUAUUUGAAGUUUACCCUUGAAAGAAAGGUUCAAGAGAAAGUUAUUAUCCUCAUAUUUUUCUCGGAUGGAACUUCAGCACACCUGGGUAACCAACGAACGGCCUAAAUAUAGUCCGAGUAUCCUGUAGUGGCCAUGUGGUAAAUUAUAUGGCCGGAAAAAAAUAAUAUUAUUUUUAGGCUAAAUUACAUAAAAUUUUUCAGUCAAAACUCAAUUUUUCACUUUUUUCCUCUGUCAUUUAGAAAUCUACACUUUGUCCCCUUAUAAAAUAAAAAAUGUUCACAGAUAGUACGGUGUAAAUAGGGGUGGAAUUGGGCCAGGGCCUAAGCAAUGCCCGGCCCGAUGGGCCAUAUUUAGGCCGGGCUUUGGGUAUUAAAAAUAUAAUUUUGAAUUUGGGCCGGGCUUAAAAAUUUAGGCCCGAAAAAAUUUUUGGUCUAUUUGGGCAUGUCCAGGCCCGGCUCGAGCCCGAUCCGAAAGCCCGAUAUAUUAAUUAUCAAAAUAAAAUAUUUAAUUUUAUAUAUAUAUAUAUAUAUAUAUAUAUAUAUAUAUAUAUAUAUAUAUAUAUAUAUAUNUAUUUAUAUAUAUGAGGAUAUAUUAUACAUUAACAAUUUAGUUUCAUAUUAGGAUAUAUUAAAUAGUAUUAUUAUAUAUAAUUAAUUAAUUCUACAUAUCUAUGAAUAAAUAUAUUUACAUAUUAUUAUAUAUAACUAAUUAGUUAUGUACAUAAUACUUACUAAAUAUAUAUUAUUUUAAAAUUUUCAAAGAAAAUUAAUUAGACAUUUUAUAUACAUAAUUUAAGGAUAAAAUUAAAAUUUAAAAUACCAUAAUGGUGUUUAAAAAACCACAUAUGCCCUAAUUAAUUAAACGUUCUAUACUUCGACCAUUACAUAAGAAGUUCGUAUCCUACAUAAGUGGAUAAUUAUUGGUACACAUUAAUGGUAUUAUAUUUGAUGUUGAUACAAAUUUCUUUGAUGUGAUCAAACCCCAAUAAAAAUAGGUAUUUUAUUUUAAUUUUGUACAAUAAAAUUAUUUAUGUAUUAUAUAAUAAAUGCAUAAAAUGGGCCUCCAUAAAGCCCGAUGGGUAUUGGGCAUUGGGCUUGGGCUUGGGCUUGAGCCGGGCCUUAAUUUUCAAAAAAAAAGUGAGUAAAAGUCCAACCCGAAGCCCAAUAUUUUCUUUUAGGCCGAGCUUGGGCAUACUAUUACCCGACUCAAGCCCGGCCUAGUUCCACCCCUAGGUGUAAACAGUGAUGACAAAAUGACCAUUUUGCUCAUCACCAUUUUCGGCAACAGGAGAGAAAACUGAUGACAUUUUUUGUAUAAAAAAAUACAUAAAAAUAUUUUAUAAACGGAACCCUAACGGAUCAUUAACAGCAGGGGUGAAAUGAAUAUUUUUCAUUUUACAAGGAGACAAAGCAUAGGUUUUAAAUGACAAUGAGGGAAAGUGAAAAAUUGAAUUUUGACAUGAGGGUUUUCAGUAAUUUAGCCUUAUUUUUAAUCACAGGAGGAAGCAUUCUAGACAUAUUUUGGAUGACAUUAUAAACGUGCAGAGUCUUGCCCAGGAUGACAGAGUGAUGAGUGAAUGUGUGUGUGGGUCGUUGCAGGGAAUAUAUAUAUAUAUAUAUAUAUAAAAUUGAGCUUCUAUGCUUUUAAAAGUGCCAAGUCAUUGGUGCUUGUAGAUUUUUAACCAUUGAAUUAAGAGAUGUGCGGUUAGGAUGAUGUGGGCCCCUUAGGGUUGAGUGGGCGGUUGGUUGAAUAGUAUAAUCUAAUGGUUGAAAAUGAUCCGAAAAGUAGAUCUAACAGUAAAAAAUUUACAAUNNNNNNNNNNNNNNNNNNNNNNNNNUUCCGAUAGCAUAGUAGCUCUACUAUAUAUAUAUAUAUAUAUAUAUAUAUAUAUAUAUAUAUAUAUAUAUAUAUAUAGUGAGGCUGAUAUACUUCUGGAAAUACGAAGUCCUUCGUGCUUCCAAGUCGUUUUCGAUAUCGGCUCCAUUAGACUUGAUAUAGAAUAUAUGAAAUACCUAGAAAAUAAAUUUUGCGAUUUUUCGAUAUUAUUUGCAUAGUGAUCGAAGGAGCUCAAAAUUAACGGCUAAAAAUAAAAAUUUUCUAAAAUAUGAUGGUAUGAUAUUAAAAUUUUAAAUUAAAGAUACUGAUCUUAUCUUGUUUUAUAUAGUAUAUAAAAUUUUCUAUCAAAAUUUCACGUGAUUUGGAUAUUUCUAUACCUUUAAAUUUGCAAACCGCUCAUCAUAACUAUUAAAAUUAUUGAUUUUGAUCUUCUUUGAUCACUAGGCAAAUGAUAUCAAAAAAUUAUAAAAUUUAUUUUCUAGGUAUUUCAAAUACUCUGGAUCAAGUCUACAGAGCUGAUCGUCGAUUCGAAAGUCUUAAUAUUGAAAACGACUUGAAAGCUCAGAGAACUCCGUACUUUUAGAAGUAUACCAGCCUCACUCAGGGCUAUUCUAAUUUUAUGAGGAUCGGAUAUUUUAAUUUAAAAUCGGAGUUAUUGAUCUUUAUUUAGAUAUUGAAUAAAAUUUUUCAUCAAAAAUCAACUGAUUUCAAUUUUUUUGUAUCGUUAAAUUAGGAAAUAUUCUAUACUACCCAUUAAAAUUAUUAAUUUUGAGAUUUUUUGAUUGUAAGGUAAAUGAUUUCAAAAAAUUAUAAAAAAUUGAUUUCUAGAAGUUUCAAAUGUCCUAGAUAAUUUUUAACGGUAUAGAUCGCCGAUUUGAAAGCUCUAUUAUCGAAAAUGACUUAUGAGUAUAAAGACGAUUGUAUUCAUAAGAUUAUAGUAGUC
Molecule: long non-coding RNA, 13537 nt
Filed under: Ananas comosus (pineapple)
Lineage: Eukaryota; Viridiplantae; Streptophyta; Magnoliopsida; Poales; Bromeliaceae
Description: long non-coding RNA (ACOM_LNC010312)
Source: RNAcentral